GAAGAAAGUAUUAUAAAAUACUAUCUCAAAAUCUAUCAUAUUCUCAGUUGAAACAUUGUAAGGAAUAUUGCAGAUUGGUGUUAAUGUUAGUUGCUCAGGAGUCAAUAUUAUUAGAUAAAAAUCAAUAAAUUAGAGAUUUUGUUUAGAUUUUUACACCGUACGUCGAUUAAUUAAACCUUAAUUUGAGUUUAAAAUCUAUUCAGACAAAGACUUAAACAUAAGUUAAGGUUUAAGAGAAUGCCGAAGUGGAUGAUGAACUUGAAAAAUGCCUAUAACAGAGGCGAUCGUCACUAAUACGAUUAAACCAUCCUUCUCGUAUUUCUUGUAUAUAAUAUAAAUAUUAUACGUAUUUCUUGUAUAUAAUAUAAAUAUUAUAGGAUGUUCCAGAACAACUUUCGAAGCUCUCAUGGAGACAUAGUAUGGAUUAAGAAACUAAAACAAUCAAACAGCAGGACCGAGAUAUCGGGAUUCUAACUAGAGUCUCAAGAAUAAUCCUUCGAUCAGCAAGAUAUCUAUGAGUGGCCUCCGAUAGUUGAAACCGGACGUCGGUCCUCUUUUUCGCCUUUAACACCCAGAUUCGUCUGUCUGUCUCUCCUCCGACGCGUCUCUCCGCUUCUCUUUCGUCUCGCGGAAGCCACGAGCGUUUGGCAGUUACAUGAAAUACGAGGGCGAAUCUCACUGGAUGCGCAUUGUCCAGUCGUGCCGUUGAAACCAGAGCUAGUAACAAUGGGGAGUGACCUCGGCUCGAUUGUCCUUUAAUUUACGGGAAUUGCAAGCCCCCUACUCCGCCGCGGAGUACGGCUACGCUGCCUCCGCGAAAAGCACUCACGACCCAUGGUCCCCUACAACCCUACGGCCCCUCCGGUACUCCCCCCCUUUCCCUGCUGCUCCUCUUGCCCCCCCCCCCUCCUCCCUUCUUGCUGCCUUGCACACGCGUGUCAGCCCCGUUGAGUGCGUGCGCGCGGGCGCGCGACACGAGCUUAAUUCGAUCUCCAUAAUCGCUCGAGCUUUACAUAAUCGGGGAGUGCUAAUACCGAUUGCCGCUACAACCGAUUCCCGACAUACUCCAGGCGCGAUUAAGCGGCACGGAUUACACCUGCGCGACGGCGCGACCCGCGCCCACACCUGGCACAACGUACACGAAACGCCGUGAUUCGCGCCGUUAUUGCCGGCCAUGAAUAUUUCAUAGCGCCGUUGCUUUCGACCCGGCGCCCCCGCGGAGGUGCCGUCGCGAGAAGAUAAUCGGUCGCUGAUUAAAGCGAUGAUUGCAUCGCGAGGAAUCGCCGUGACGCCGCGCGUUUAACCAGCUGCGGGCGCGGAAUUACACGCGUGUCGAGUAAACGGUGUGCGGAAUGUCACCCAGCCGCGGCACAAUCGCGAAUAUUAGAGUCCUAAAUAAUUAGAGGAGCGCAAGCAGCGUCUCGCUUGCUGACUGGCUGACUAUGACAUCGAUCCAUAUCAGAAAUGUUGG
Molecule: long non-coding RNA, 1471 nt
Organism: Odontomachus brunneus
Lineage: Eukaryota; Metazoa; Arthropoda; Insecta; Hymenoptera; Formicidae
Exons: 3
Source: RefSeq, a predicted model, not a curated record